CGGACGGGUGAGUAAUGUCUGGAACUGCCCGAUGGAGGGGGAUAAUACUGGAAACGGUAGCUAAUACCGCAUAACGUCGCAAGACCAAAGAGGGGGACCUUCGGGCCUCUUGCCAUCGGAUGUGCCCAGAUGGGAUUAGCUAGUAGGUGGGGUAACGGCUCACCUAGGCGACGAUCCCUAGCUGGUCUGAGAGGAUGACCAGCCACACUGGAACUGAGACACGGUCCAG
This 229-nucleotide ribosomal RNA is filed under the name uncultured bacterium. RNAcentral describes it as "partial 16S ribosomal RNA". It matches the Rfam family "Bacterial small subunit ribosomal RNA", at positions 99 to 334 of the family's 1533-position model. The record is from RNAcentral.